CACCUUCAGGAAGGUGUAACUCCUCCACCACCUACUCUCUCUGCAUUACCUGCAGGUGGUUUUCCUGGCAAAGUGAUUUUGUAGAGUUGCUUCAGCAGUGACAAAAAGUAGGACUUCAGGUGACUACAAAAAAUGCAUAGUUGCAGCUAACAGACACAGAACAAAAAAUCCUCUCAAAAGAUGUAAGAAAAAUUUUUUGAGAACUGAAGAAGCCAGGACCUGAUCAAUGCAAGGUGUAGUAAUCCUGAGAGAAAGCUUUGCUGGGAGCUGGGUGUUAAUGUUAAGAACUCCUUUCUUCUUCUAGGGGCUUAUGACUGAUUUUCUCCAGUGUCUCAAUGGAACAAACAAAUGUGAAUUUCAUCUGUACUAGAACAAACUAGGAAAAGUUUAGUUUUGCAGUAGAAUGAGGUACAUUUUUGGCUUGGGGCUUAGGCAGCCUAGGCAGGUGUUCUUGAAUAAAUAUGACACCUGAA
Molecule: long non-coding RNA, 473 nt
Organism: Empidonax traillii (willow flycatcher)
Lineage: Eukaryota; Metazoa; Chordata; Aves; Passeriformes; Tyrannidae
Exons: 2
Source: RefSeq, a predicted model, not a curated record